AAGUCGAGGGAAUUCUUUUUCGUGAAGGAGCGGCGGGCGGGGGUGAGUUACGGCGGGGGUAACCCUGCCUCAUUACACAAUGGGAUAACAUCCCGAAAGGGUAUGUUAAUACAAGAUGAUAUAAGGGAUUCGCAUGGAUUUUUUAUCAAAAGCUUCAGGCUGGUAUGAGAGGGACCCGCGUCUGAUUAGCUAGUUGGUAAGGUAACGGGCUUCCCAAGGGGACGAUCAGUAGCCGACCUGAGAGGGUGAUUGGCCACCAUUGGAACUGAGACACGGUCCCAACUCCUACGGGAGGCAGCAGUGGGGAAUAUUGCACAAUGGGCGAAAGCCUGAUGCAGCAACGCCGCGUGAGCGAUGAAGGCCUUCGGGUCGUAAAGCUCUGUCCUCAAGGAAGAUAAUGACGGUACUUGAGGAGGAAGCCCCGGCUAACUACGUGCCAGCAGCCGCGGUAAUACGUAGGGGGCUAGCGUUAUCCGGAUUUACUGGGCGUAAAGGGUGCGUAGGUGGUUUCUUAAGUCAGGAGUGAAAGGCUACGGCUCAACCGUAGUAAGCUCUUGAAACUGGGAAACUUGAGUGCAGGAGAGGAAAGUGGAAUUCCUAGUGUAGCGGUGAAAUGCGUAGAUAUUAGGAGGAACACCAGUAGCGAAGGCGGCUUUCUGGACUGUAACUGACACUGAGGCACGAAAGCGUGGGGAGCAAACAGGAUUAGAUACCCUGGUAGUCCACGCCGUAAACGAUGAGUAAUAGGUGUCGGGGGUUACCCCCCUCGGUGCCGCAGCUAACGCA
This 786-nucleotide ribosomal RNA is filed under the name uncultured bacterium. RNAcentral describes it as "bacterial SSU rRNA". It matches the Rfam family "Bacterial small subunit ribosomal RNA", at positions 59 to 859 of the family's 1533-position model. The record is from RNAcentral.